CUCAUUAAAUCAGUUAUAGUUUAUUUGAUGGUCUCUUUUGUCUUUUUUUACCUACUUGGAUAACCGUGGUAAUUCUAGAGCUAAUACAUGCGCAAGGUCCCAAGCGCGGAGGGUAGGGCUUCACGGCUCUAUUCUUGCAUGCGUAGCGGGAUGUAUUUAUUAGGUUAAACAACCAGCAUUUUCAUCAUCUGGUGAUUCAUAGUAACUCUUUCGGAUCGCAUUCAUG
Molecule: ribosomal RNA, 226 nt
Filed under: uncultured Comandonia
Lineage: Eukaryota; Discosea; Longamoebia; Acanthamoebidae
Description: partial 18S ribosomal RNA
Rfam family: Eukaryotic small subunit ribosomal RNA
Source: RNAcentral